RNAcentral lists this ribosomal RNA (266 nucleotides) under uncultured bacterium. RNAcentral's name for it is "partial small subunit ribosomal RNA". It matches the Rfam family "Bacterial small subunit ribosomal RNA", at positions 26 to 285 of the family's 1533-position model. The record is from RNAcentral.
AGAAUCAACGCUGGCGGCGUGCCUCAGACAUGCAAGUCGAGCGAGAACCGGUCCUUCGGGACCGGAGAAAGCGGCGAACGGGUGAGUAACACGUGGGUAAUCUGCCCUCGGUUCUGGGAUAGCCCGGGGAAACCCGGAUUAAUACCGGAUAGCCUUUCGAGUCUUCGGGCUCGUCAGAAAAAGUGGCUUCGGCUACCGACCGAGGAGGAGCCUGCGGCGGAUUAGCUAGUUGGUAAGGUAAUGGCUUACCAAGGCUUCGAUCUGUA